AGCGAACGCUGGCGGCAGGCUUAACACAUGCAAGUCGAACGGUCCUUCGGGAUAGUGGCGGACGGGUGAGUAACACGUGGGAACGUACCCUUAGGUUCGGAGCAACACAGGGAAACUUGUGCUAAUACCGGAUAAGCCCUUCGGGGGAAAGAUUUAUCGCCUUUGGAGCGGCCCGCGUCUGAUUAGCUUGUUGGUUAGGUAAUGGCUCACCAAGGCUAUGAUCAGUAGCUGGUCUGAGUGGAUGGACAGCCAUACUGGGACUGAGACACGGCCCAGACGCGUACGGGAGGCAGCAGUGGGGAAUCUUGGGCAAUGGGCGAAAGCCUGACGCAGCCAUGCCGCGUGGAUGAUGAAGGUCUUAGGAUUGUAAAAUCCUUUCACCGGGGACGAUAAUGACGGUACCCGGAGAAGAAGCCCCGGCUAACUUCGUGCCAGCAGCCGCAGUAA
RNAcentral lists this ribosomal RNA (447 nucleotides) under uncultured bacterium. RNAcentral's name for it is "partial 16S ribosomal RNA". It matches the Rfam family "Bacterial small subunit ribosomal RNA", at positions 29 to 523 of the family's 1533-position model. The record is from RNAcentral.